ACUCCUACGGGAGGCAGCAGUGGGGAAUAUUGGACAAUGGGCGCAAGCCUGAUCCAGCCAUGCCGCGUGUGUGAAGAAGGCCUUCGGGUUGUAAAGCACUUUCAGUGGGGAAGAAAUCCUCGGGGCUAAUACCCUCGAGGGAGGACAUCACCCACAGAAGAAGCACCGGCUAACUCCGUGCCAGCAGCCGCGGUAAUACGGAGGGUGCGAGCGUUAAUCGGAAUUACUGGGCGUAAAGCGCGCGUAGGCGGCCUGAUAAGCCGGUUGUGAAAGCCCCGGGCUCAACCUGGGAACGGCAUCCGGAACUGUCAGGCUAGAGUGCAGGAGAGGAAGGUAGAAUUCCCGGUGUAGCGGUGAAAUGCGUAGAGAUCGGGAGGAAUACCAGUGGCGAAGGCGGCCUUCUGGACUGACACUGACGCUGAGGUGCGAAAGCGUGGGUAGCAAACAGGAUUAGAUACCCUGGUAGUCCACGCCGUAAACGAUGUCGACUAGCCGUUGGGGUCCUUGAGACCUUUGUGGCGCAGUUAACGCGAUAAGUCGACCGCCUGGGGAGUACGGCCGCAAGGUUAAAACUCAAAUGAAUUGACGGGGGCCCGCACAAGCGGUGGAGCAUGUGGUUUAAUUCGAUGCAACGCGAAGAACCUUACCUACCCUUGACAUCGAGAG
This 666-nucleotide ribosomal RNA is filed under the name Halomonas mongoliensis. Its description in RNAcentral is "bacterial SSU rRNA". It matches the Rfam family "Bacterial small subunit ribosomal RNA", at positions 335 to 993 of the family's 1533-position model. Lineage: Bacteria; Pseudomonadati; Pseudomonadota; Gammaproteobacteria; Oceanospirillales; Halomonadaceae. The record is from RNAcentral.